This 278-nucleotide ribosomal RNA is filed under the name uncultured bacterium. Its description in RNAcentral is "partial 16S ribosomal RNA". It matches the Rfam family "Bacterial small subunit ribosomal RNA", at positions 28 to 303 of the family's 1533-position model. The record is from RNAcentral.
GAUGAACGCUAGCGGCAGGCCUAAUACAUGCAAGCCGAACGGCAAGUUGAGUAGCAAUACUUGACCUAGAGUGGCGUAAGGGUGCGUAACACGUAUGCAAUCUACCCGCAACAGGAGGAUAGCUCUCCGAAAGGGGAAUUAAGCCUCCAUGGGAUCAUGGGGUGGCAUCACUCCAUGAUUAAACUACCAGGGGUUGUGGAUGAGCAUGCGCAUGAUUAGUUAGUUGGCGGGGUAACGGCCCACCAAGACGAUGAUCAUUAGGGGAACUGAGAGGUUGA